This 127-nucleotide small nucleolar RNA is filed under the name Dipodomys ordii (Ord's kangaroo rat). RNAcentral's name for it is "Small nucleolar RNA SNORA40". It matches the Rfam family "Small nucleolar RNA SNORA40". From Rfam's summary of the family: The snoRNA ACA 40 belongs to the H/ACA family of snoRNAs and guides the pseudouridylation of 28S rRNA subunit at position U4565. NB This family has a high threshold value to exclude a large number of closely related sequences that do not appear to have conserved H and ACA boxes, and may be pseudogenes. Lineage: Eukaryota; Metazoa; Chordata; Mammalia; Rodentia; Heteromyidae. The record is from Rfam by way of RNAcentral.
UUAUCUUGCCCAUGUAAUUGUAACCCCUCUGUACAGUAUGUUCACAAUAAAAAAUUUUUAAAAAUCUCUUUUGCAACCCAGAACUCAUUGAUCAGUAUGAGUUUUGGUCUGUGUAAGAAGGAAUACG